GCUGCGGGCUGCGGUCAGGGCG
This 22-nucleotide microRNA is filed under the name Homo sapiens (human). RNAcentral describes it as "hsa-miR-4734". Lineage: Eukaryota; Metazoa; Chordata; Mammalia; Primates; Hominidae. The record is from miRBase by way of RNAcentral.